RNAcentral lists this ribosomal RNA (322 nucleotides) under uncultured eukaryote. Its description in RNAcentral is "partial 18S ribosomal RNA". It matches the Rfam family "Eukaryotic small subunit ribosomal RNA", at positions 1470 to 1796 of the family's 1831-position model. The record is from RNAcentral.
CCCUUAGAUGUUCUGGGCCGCACGCGUGCUACACUGAGUAAUUCAAUGGGUAAGGGAACGCUAGAGCAUUACCUAAUCUUGAAAUUUGCUCGUGAUGGGGAUCGACGGUUGCAAUUUUCCGUCGUGAACGAGGAAUACCUUGUAGGCGCAUGUCAUCAUCAUGCGCCGAAUACGUCCCUGCCCUUUGUACACACCGCCCGUCGCUCCUACCGAUUGAGUGAUCCGGUGAGGCUCGGGGACCUGGACGGAAAGAGCGUUUCGCUUGUUCUGUUUGGGAAACUUGGUCGAACCUUAUCAUUUAGAGGAAGGAGAAGUCGUAACA